Ahaetulla prasina is the source of this 323-nucleotide long non-coding RNA. RefSeq lists it as uncharacterized. The record is from RefSeq and is a predicted model, not a curated record. Lineage: Eukaryota; Metazoa; Chordata; Lepidosauria; Squamata; Colubridae. The transcript is spliced from 3 exons.
CUCCGCAUAGUUAAAUUUCUAUAGAUGGGGUAGACAGAUUAUAAAAUUCUGGGCUCUAUGUUGAAUUAUAAAAUACAAUCCCAUACUGGAGUACAAUGCCACAUAAUGGCUCAGUUCAUGCCAUUCAUUGAGAUCAGAUGCAUUUCAGGCUGGUUGUCUCAGAUGUUGGACACUGUUUUGACAUUUGGAAAGAGAACUUUUGGAAAAUAAAAAUUGGACCUGACCUGACUGGUAUAUCAUUCUGGAAAAUGAGAACCAAUUUGCUUAAAAAUGCAGAACAGAGAGAAUCCUGAAGGAUCCUUCACCAAUAAAUUCCAAGGAAA